Molecule: ribosomal RNA, 292 nt
Filed under: uncultured Sphingobacteriales bacterium
Lineage: Bacteria; Pseudomonadati; Bacteroidota; Sphingobacteriia; Sphingobacteriales
Description: partial 16S ribosomal RNA
Rfam family: Bacterial small subunit ribosomal RNA
Source: RNAcentral
AACGAGCGCAACCCUUAUCGUUAGUUGCCAUCUGGUAAAGCAGGGGACUCUAGCGAAACUGCCACCGUAAGGUGAGAGGAAGGUGGGGAUGACGUCAAAUCAGCACGGCCCUUAUGUCCAGGGCUACACACGUGUUACAAUGGUCAGUACAGAGGGCAGCUACCUGGUGACAGGAUGCUAAUCUCGAAAACCGGCCUCAGUUCGGAUCGAAGUCUGCAACUCGACUUCGUGAAGCUGGAUUCGCUAGUAAUCGCGCAUCAGCCAUGGCGCGGUGAAUACGUUCCCGGACCUU